This 465-nucleotide ribosomal RNA is filed under the name Vreelandella stevensii. RNAcentral's name for it is "partial 16S ribosomal RNA". It matches the Rfam family "Bacterial small subunit ribosomal RNA", at positions 338 to 795 of the family's 1533-position model. Lineage: Bacteria; Pseudomonadati; Pseudomonadota; Gammaproteobacteria; Oceanospirillales; Halomonadaceae. The record is from RNAcentral.
CCUACGGGAGGCAGCAGUGGGGAAUAUUGGACAAUGGGCGAAAGCCUGAUCCAGCCAUGCCGCGUGUGUGAAGAAGGCCUUCGGGUUGUAAAGCACUUUCAGUGGGGAAGAAAGCCUUGGGGCUAAUACCCUCGAGGAAGGACAUCACCCACAGAAGAAGCACCGGCUAACUCCGUGCCAGCAGCCGCGGUAAUACGGAGGGUGCGAGCGUUAAUCGGAAUUACUGGGCGUAAAGCGCGCGUAGGCGGUCUGAUAAGCCGGUUGUGAAAGCCCCGGGCUCAACCUGGGAACGGCAUCCGGAACUGUCAGGCUAGGGUGCAGGAGAGGAAGGUAGAAUUCCCGGUGUAGCGGUGAAAUGCGUAGAGAUCGGGAGGAAUACCAGUGGCGAAGGCGGCCUUCUGGACUGACACUGACGCUGAGGUGCGAAAGCGUGGGUAGCAAACAGGAUUAGAUACCCGGGUAGUC